UGACCUCAAAUCAGGUAGGACUACCCGCUGAACUUAAGCAUAUCAAUAAGCGGAGGAAAAGAAACUAACAAGGAUUCCCCUAGUAACUGCGAGUGAAGCGGGAAAAGCUCAAAUUUAAAAUCUGGCAGCCUUUGGUUGUCCGAGUUGUAGUCUGGAGAAGUGUCUUCCGCGCUGGACCGUGUACAAGUCCCUUGGAAUAGGGCGUCAUAGAGGGUGAGAAUCCCGUCUUUGACACGGACUCCCAGUGCUUUGUGAUGCGCUCUCAAAGAGUCGAGUUGUUUGGGAAUGCAGCUCAAAAUGGGUGGUAAAUUCCAUCUAAAGCUAAAUAUUGGCGAGAGACCGAUAGCGAACAAGUACCGUGAGGGAA
Molecule: ribosomal RNA, 367 nt
Filed under: Postia sericeomollis
Lineage: Eukaryota; Fungi; Basidiomycota; Agaricomycetes; Polyporales; Postiaceae
Description: eukaryotic LSU rRNA
Rfam family: Eukaryotic large subunit ribosomal RNA
Source: RNAcentral